UACGUAGGGGGCAAGCGUUAUCCGGAAUUACUGGGUGUAAAGGGUGAGUAGGCGGCAUGGUAAGCCAGAUGUGAAAGCCCGCAGCUUAACUGCGGGAUUGCAUUUGGAACUACUAAGCUAGAGUACAGGAGAGGAAAGCGGAAUUCCUAGUGUAGCGGUGAAAUGCGUAGAUAUUAGGAAGAACACCGGUGGCGAAGGCGGCUUUCUGGACUGAAACUGACGCUGAGGCACGAAAGCGUGGGGAGCGAACAGG
Molecule: ribosomal RNA, 253 nt
Filed under: Anaerotignum lactatifermentans
Lineage: Bacteria; Bacillati; Bacillota; Clostridia; Lachnospirales; Anaerotignaceae
Also listed under: 1 other name
Description: partial 16S ribosomal RNA
Rfam family: Bacterial small subunit ribosomal RNA
Source: RNAcentral